GUUGACCUCGGAUCAGGUAGGGAUACCCGCUGAACUUAAGCAUAUCAAUAAGCGGAGGAAAAGAAACCAACAGGGAUUGCCCUAGUAACGGCGAGUGAAGCGGCAACAGCUCAAAUUUGAAAUCUGGCGCAAGCCCGAGUUGUAAUUUGCAGAGGAUGCUUCUGGGCAGCGGCCGGUCUAAGUUCCUUGGAACAGGACGUCAUAGAGGGUGAGAAUCCCGUAUGCGACCGGUUGGCACCCGUCACGUAGCUCCUUCGACGAGUCGAGUUGUUUGGGAAUGCAGCUCUAAAUGGGUGGUAAAUGUCAUCUAAAGCUAAAUACCGGCCAGAGACCGAUAGCGCACAAGUAGAGUGAUCGAAAGAUGAAAAGUACUUUGGAAAGAGAGUUAAAAAGCACGUGAAAUUGUUGAAAGGGAAGCGCAUGCAACCAGACUUGUCCGCGGUGUUCCGCCGGUCUUCUGACCGGUCUACUCGCCGCGGGCAGGCCAGCAUCGUCUGGGCGCGCCGGAAAAAGGCGCAGGGAAUGUAGCCCCUCGGGGUGUUAUAGCUCUGCGCACAAUACGGCGCCGCCCGGGCGAGGUCCGCGCUUCGGCUAGGAUGCUGGCGUAAUGGUUGUCUGCGGCCCGUCUUGAAACACGGACCAAGGAGUCUAACAUCUAUGCGAGUGUUCGGGUGUCAAACCCCUACGCGGAAUGAAAGUGAACGGAGGUGGGAGCCCUCGGGCGCACCAUCGACCGAUCCUGAUGUCUUCGGAUGGAUUUGAGUAAGAGCAUAGCUGUUGGGACCCGAAAGAUGGUGAACUAUGCCUGAAUAGGGUGAAGCCAGAGGAAACUCUGGUGGAGGCUCGCAGCGGUUCUGACGUGCAAAUCGAUCGUCAAAUUUGGGUAUAGGGGCGAAAGACUAAUCGAACCAUCUAGUAGCUGGUUCCUGCCGAAGUUUC
RNAcentral lists this ribosomal RNA (939 nucleotides) under Catenulostroma protearum. Its description in RNAcentral is "eukaryotic LSU rRNA". It matches the Rfam family "Eukaryotic large subunit ribosomal RNA", at positions 1 to 970 of the family's 3401-position model. The record is from RNAcentral. Lineage: Eukaryota; Fungi; Ascomycota; Dothideomycetes; Mycosphaerellales; Teratosphaeriaceae.